This is a long non-coding RNA of Cryptotermes secundus, 2543 nucleotides long. RefSeq lists it as uncharacterized. NCBI's taxonomy places the organism in Eukaryota, Metazoa, Arthropoda, Insecta, Blattodea, Kalotermitidae. The transcript is spliced from 2 exons. The record is from RefSeq and is a predicted model, not a curated record.
UCCAACAGAAUUUUUGAAUUCACUCGAUCUGCCGGAGAUGCCACCGCACGUACUGCAAUUGAAAAUAGGUGUGCCAAUUAUGAUGUUGCGAAAUAUCAACCAGCAAAGCUUUGCAACGGCAUGCAGCUUGCAGUAAAAAAAUUAUUGAGCAACGUCGUAGAAGCAACAAUCUUGACAGGACCUUUCAAAGGUGAAGAUGUCCUCAUUCCUUGCAUUCCUAUGAUUCCAACGGAUAUACCAUUUCAAUUUAAGAGAUUGCAAUUCCCAAUUCGAUUGGCGUUUGCAAUCACCAUCAACAAAGCUCAGUGCCAAUCUUUAGAAUUCUGCGGUUUAGUUCUAAGCACGGAUUCCUUCUCACAUGGACAAUUAUAUGUUGCGUGUUCUAGAGUCGUCAAACGAGACAAUCUCUAUAUCUGCACAGACAAUGGAACAACAAAAAAUAUUGUAUACCCACAAGCAUUGUGAAAUUAAACAUAUUAGAAAUGUGCGCUUUCUCUUUUCUUUCUUUUCCAUUUAACCAGACUGAGCCACAGCAACGCAUGGCCAGGUACAGCUAGUAAUUAAUAAGGUAGUGCAUGAGGAUGCUUAAAUACAAUAGCUUUACUACUGUAUUAGUGCUGGCUAUGCUUAUCUCCAGAGACAUUUAUAUGCUUAUUCAUGCAAUGGGACCUGCAAGCCUGUAUGCUGGAUUGGAUGGGAGUGAGGAUGUUGGGUUGUGGACAUGAAUAUGCCAUGAUCUCAGUUGCAUCCAGAUCUGAACAUACUUACCCAAAGAAAAUGAAAAUUUGACUGUGUUGUCUCACUGUAAAUUGUUUAUAAUUAGACCUGUGUGAAGCAGGAUUGCUGUAUUGACAACUUUUUUAAAGGGUUAUACCUUCUGGGAUAUGAUGUGUAAGGUAAAGUAAUGCCUCAGUCAUCAAGCGAUGAAAAUGUUUACAUUUCUGACCUGAGCACUAGAUGGAGGUGAGAGGAGGGUAUCUUCAGAUCCUGGCCUCAUUAUCCCUAGGGAAAGAGCCCCAGUACCCAAUGGAUAGGAGGCUUUGUGGGCCAAAGAGCUAGUCUGGAUGCUGUGGAGAAGAGAAAAAUCUUUUGCCCCUGCUAGGGAUCAAACCCUGGCUGUCCAGCCUGUAGCCCAUCAUUAUACUAACUGAGAUGCCCUGGCACCUCUACAGUAUUGCUUGUUGAAAGCCAGCUGAAGUUUUAGAGGAACAUGUUGUGGCCAUCUUCAGGAUUGGGGAAAAAACCUAGCAUCUCUGCUUUCUGUCUGCUUUAUGAAAAUGGAAGCGACAUAUGCUUCUGAACCACUGGUUGAUUUUCAGUGGACUGCAUUGUGUUAUGUCCUAGAAGGUAUAACCACCGUUGUGAGAACCUCAUAUCAUAAUCUUCCCCACCUCCCAUUGUGCUUGUAAUUCUAAGUAACUGUAGUUAGUCUGCUUUCUUGUAGCAUGUAGUGGUGAGUGUAUAAGAUAGCACUUUGCUAUUUACAUGUUACAUGUAAAAAGUAACCAAACUUUCAUUUGUAUUUUCCAGAACCUGAUCGUGGCAUAACAAACUCAACAGGUCAGAGAUAUUUCAAUGAGAUACUUUCAGGAGUAGAAUACCUCCAUAGCCAUGGCAUUGUACAUCAUGACCUGAAGCCGGAAAAUAUCCUACUGGAUGAACACUAUAACCUAAAGAUUUGUGACUUUGGAUUGGCUACUGUAUUCAGGGGGAAAGGAAUGGUCAGUAAUGGUCAUAUAAAUUAAUUAAGUUAUAGAUGACAAUGUCUCACAAUAUUAGCAGUGUUAUUCUGGAUAAACAGACUUUAAUAAAAACUGUCAUUGCAAUUUUCAUUUAAAUAUUCUCAUGCCUUGGUCACAUGCUUUCAAUUUAUUGCAAUUUCGGAGUUUACACAUGAUCCAAAAAUAAACUCUGGUGGCAAGUUCUCUGAAUUUUUGAAGAUACAGUUUUGGCCAAGACUAGUUUUAUACUGACUUUCUAAUUACCGUUCUAAAGUUCAGUUAUCACAAUAUAUGCCAGAUACAAGAACAAUAAUGAUGCUCAUAUUUGCAUAUGAACGUCUACAUUAGCUUGUGAGAAUUUAGUAUGUUUUGUGCCACCUCCACACAAGCAUUUAUAAUUGUUUGUGAAUAUAAAACCCAUCUCCUUGCAUGACAGGUUACUUAAACUGACUAAAUUCUUGGUGCUGAGGCAUCAGCGUACUUCCACAUCACUGCAUCUUAAUAGCCACAUUGGGCAUUUCCAUGUUUCAUCUCAGGCAGAGAGACAGGAGCCCCAUUCCUGUUGUAAAACCUUUCGUUUAUUUUUUUUUCUUGAUCGACACACUUCCACUUUUACAUCCAGUAAUAUCAUCUGGUAUACGCACUAGAGUGCACGUGCGCAUACGAAAAACCAACUUACCACCACACUGCCUGGAACCGUACUGGGACAGCCAUGUGGUUAGAUUGUACGACAUGCGUAUAUAAGUAUUACCAACAUAUACAACAGAAACAACAUGCGUAUAUUAGUAUUACCAACAUUCCCCCAUAAUCAUAGCAUGUAAA